Ogataea parapolymorpha DL-1 is the source of this 74-nucleotide non-coding RNA. Lineage: Eukaryota; Fungi; Ascomycota; Pichiomycetes; Pichiales; Pichiaceae. The record is from the annotation of a RefSeq genome assembly.
GGUGCAUUAGCUCAGAGGUCAAGAGCAUCGUGCUUAUAACGCGAUGGUCGCGGGUUCAAACCCCGCAUGCACCA